CUUGGAGGGCUGGGGAGAAAGCCGUCUUCCUCCCACCCAGGCCCGCGAUGCGGGCUGCGCCCAGGGGAGCGUGCACACAGAGGCCCCGCCCGGGGAUCCGGGGGUCCGGCUGGGCUCGGCCCUCGGGGGCGUGUCCUCUGUGCCAGGGCGCCACCGCCCCGAGAGGCGGGCAGCGGGUGCGCCCGGGCCGCGGCGGCCGCAGAGGGCGGGCGGCGGCCAGCAUGGAGCGCGAGCUGGAGGCGCUGGCGGCCCGGCUCGCGCGCCCGGCCGAGCCGCCCUUCCAGGCGUUGGUGGAAGCGGCGGGGGGCCGCGGGCAGGUGCUGCUGGUGGGCGAGCUGUGGGAGCGCGAACAGAGCCGCGCGCUGCUGCGGGACUUCGCACGGGCGGUGUUCCCGCCGGAGCCAGGCGCUGGCAAGCCGGGCGGCGCGGCGGCAGAGGGCGCGGGGUCCGGGGCGGCGCGCGGGGCGCAGAGGGCGGCGAGGGCGGCUGGGGCGGCGGGGGCGGCGGCGGCGGCGGCGCGCGCCAUCCGCUCGCCGCUGGUCUUCGUGCUGUGCCGCGCGUCGUCGCUGGCCGCCCGGGAGCCGCGGCGCCGCCUGCGGGAGAUGCUGCGGGACGUGCGCGGCCGGCGGCGGGCCGGGGCGGCACUGGUCGGGGUGCUGGUGGCCGAGGCCGGGCCAGAGGACGCGGUGGCGCCGGGGCUGCGGCUGCUGGAGGCGCUGUUGCGCGCCGUGUUCGGCCGCCAGGCGGGGGGGCCCGUGCAGGCGGCCGCCUACUGCCCCGGCCUCCCGGCCUCCUGCUUGGCCGUCCAGGCGGCCGCUUGCAGGGCCCUGCAAGCCGCCGGAGCCGGGCAACCAGUGGAAGGAGCCUGGGAGAGGCCAGGCCUCCCCGGACUGCUAGCCUGCUUUUCCUGGGGUCCCUGGAGCCGGAGGAAGAACCAGGAUGUUGCUGCCUGCAGAAGCUCAGCUCAGGAAGACUUCCAGGAACCUGAGGAGGAGCUGGCACUAACAGCCAUAUUUCCCAAUGGAGACUGUGAUGACCUUGGAAGGGGGUCAAAAGCCUGUGAUGGAGUCGUACACACUCCUGCUGAGCCCACCGGAGACUCAAGAUGAAGGCUGGACCCCUGCGCUGUCCCUGGCUCUAACCUACAGACUGGGGCCUGGCUCCUUCUUACUGGCCCCCAGGUCUCCAUGGAGACUGCGGAAACCCCCGCCUGCUGGAGGCCUGCCACACUCACAGUUACCAGCUAGACAGUGGGGCUUACUAAGACAAGCAGGACCUAAAACAGUGUCUCCCCUGGGAACCUACUCCCCACCCAGCAUUUGCUAAGUCUGAUCACAGGGAGGUUAUUUUGUCUCUCUGGCUCGGUUUCUCUGAGCCACUGAGACAGAUGGCUCUCCGCUUUGAGGCUGUGCAGAGCUGUGGCACCCCAUGGUGUGUCUGCAGUGUUCUGGGCACAUGCAUGGGCACCCAUCGUUGAGAGUGCAGCUGGGAAGAACUCUGAACCAGAAGUCAUCAGAGCUGAGGCAUGGCCUUGAACAUGUCACUCAGUCUCUGGGGCUUCUGUUUCACAAUGCAUGAGGGGGCCACCAGCCCAGUGGCUUUAAACCAGGGGCAGGUUGUCCCUCCAGGCAGCAUUGGAAAUGUGUGUGUUGAGGGGGUCACAGUGACUGUGGGGGCACCCCUGGCAUCUAGUGGGCAUCCCACAAUAUGCAGAACAGUCUCUGACAGCAAAGAAUUGGUCCAUUCAAUGCCAAUUGUAGUACCUUUGAGACAUUCUGGCUGAGCCAAUGCCUUCUCCCUGUCAGAGUCCCCCGGAGCAGAGAGGGUCAGGCUUCCCUGGACCUUGGCUCCCAGAGCAAGCCAAAAUAAAGACUACACUGUUGCCUUGGGGGCUUGUCGGGCCAGGGCCAAGACGGUCUGCGUGCUGCAGGGCCAGGACAGAAAUAGCCACACAUGCCGGUGAGAACAAAGAGCCUCUUUCUUUCUCAUGUUGACAUCGACUUUCUGUGCCAAGUCCUUUGGGUAUAAGGAUGCUAGGGAAUUCCUAUAGGCACCAAACAGAAGGAAAGCUAGGAGCUUGGACUACUGGGUAUAGGACUUGCUCUAGCUCUCAGGUCCUAGCCCAAGCUCAAUGCAAACACAGCCCCUCCGGGCUCUCUGUUUCUGUGAGGUUCUGGAAUCCCUUCCUCUGUGUCCGUGAGUCUGACAGAAUCGAUGAUGUUCCCUUAGAGCCGGGAAAUCCAUGUGUUUAUUCACAGAGGGAACUCACCAUUACCUCCCUUGUCUUCUUUGCCUGCCUUGGAGAAAUCCAGAGUCUUCGGAAUGGCAAAGGCAGCUCCUGGAUUUCCCUGGAAGGGAGGCACUAGCUGAGGGAAGUAGCUCCCUUCAUUCAUGAUGCACAGUUUACGCAGCGGACACACAACUGUGCCUACUAUUUGCUCAGUGCCCUGCAAGGUGCUGCCUAACUUUGAUUUGUUAUUUCAGCUCUCUCCAGGAUAGUGCCAAAUGGUGCAAUGGGAAACCUGUUUUGCUGGGGGGCUCUAGAUCACUGGCUCCAGAACUCCCAGCUGCCAGGGUAGCCCCUACCCCCAGCCCCUUGCUCCUGGACAGCAGUGGGUCUCACCUUUAGCCUCUGCCCCCAGUUCUGGUCUGACCCAACAGAGGGGCUCUAUGAUAUUAAGAAGGGGCCCUUCCUGCUCUGUGCCUCAACCUAGUCUCCAUAAUAGGGAGUCUAAUCCUAUUCCUUCCCUGCCUGAUGAGGAUGGUGUGAGGAUGAGGAGGACGGCAUCUCAUUUGGGGUUUUUUGGCAGUGGGCCUCAUUUUAAUCCUGCAGGGCUGCCUGCCAGUAGAUCCAUCCAGCUGCUUCCUUGUAGCCAAGAAUGAGUUCAAUGAAGUGUGAUUCACUGAUUUUAUUGAUUUUGUUUUAAAACAGGGAGACUGGUAUUUUUGAAGCUGCUAUCAUUUUCUAUUUAUUAAUUUCUUUGUAAUCAUCUUAUUAAAGUUUUCGUAUUUA
Long non-coding RNA from Gorilla gorilla gorilla (western lowland gorilla), 3013 nucleotides. RefSeq annotates it as chromosome 11 C2orf72 homolog. The record is from RefSeq and is a predicted model, not a curated record. Lineage: Eukaryota; Metazoa; Chordata; Mammalia; Primates; Hominidae. The transcript is spliced from 3 exons.